This 583-nucleotide long non-coding RNA is filed under the name Numida meleagris (helmeted guineafowl). RNAcentral describes it as "lncRNA (ENSNMEG00000020714.1)". The record is from RNAcentral. Lineage: Eukaryota; Metazoa; Chordata; Aves; Galliformes; Numididae.
AUGAGAGUGCGUGAUAGAAUGAGGAUCAUCAUCAAUCAACGUAUGGAGUCUAAUUUGAAAUACAGAGAGGGGAGGAAAGAAGGGCAGAAGAUGAGUGUUGUGUUGUGUGUCACCAUCAGCAUUCAGCUUGCCUCCUUCCGAAGCAGACAGAACUCCUCCUGCCAAAUGGCUGAGCAGUUAAGCCAAACGAAGAACAUUCGUACAUAAUUCCACCCGGUUUGGCUCAAGGCAUGAAUAGCAAAAUAUUUAACAGCAGUAUUUAACUCCUCUGCCCUUCUUAACAUCCUUCCUUAUUCUAAUCUACAUCUUCUCUUCUGUCCAGAUCUUGUUCUAGUUGCUCACUUUUCUUUUAACUUUCUUUUUCUCUUCGUAUUUUUCAUGGAGAACCUCUUUUCCCCGAUGUUUCCAUCAAGAAGUUAAAUCCUGAUGUCGAGGUGUACCAAAAGGUGUGACAGAAGGGUUUAAAUGAUGUAUUAGCCCUACUUAACAAGCUUGUGUAUGUUUCUGGUACAUAUGUAUAUAUGUUUGUACAUUUUUUCUGAUAUUUGUCAUUUGUUUCUAAUAUUAAAAGUAUAGGCAGUCA